GGUGGGAUUCGGGAGUGGUUUAACCGGCGAUCCUGGAAAGAUCGUGUGGGCGUAAGUCUACCGAGGGUUCGAAUCCCUCUCCCACCGCCA
This 90-nucleotide transfer RNA is filed under the name Candidatus Daviesbacteria bacterium. RNAcentral describes it as "tRNA-Ser". It matches the Rfam family "tRNA". Rfam says of the family: Transfer RNA (tRNA) molecules are approximately 80 nucleotides in length. The record is from RNAcentral. Lineage: Bacteria; Candidatus Daviesiibacteriota.